UUACACAUGCAAGUCGAACGCGAAAGUGGGGGCAACCCUGCGAGUAGAGUGGCGAACGGGUGAGUAAUACAUCGGAACGUACCCAGGAGUGGGGGACAACCUCGAGAAAUCGAGGCUAAUACCGCAUACGUCCUGAGGGAGAAAGCGGGGGACUCGCAAGAGCCUCGCGCUCAUGGAUCGGCCGAUGUCGGAUUAGCUAGUUGGCGGGGUAAAAGCCCACCAAGGCUACGAUCCGUAGCUGGUUUGAGAGAACGACCAGCCACACUGGGACUGAGACACGGCCCAGACUCCUACGGGAGGCAGCAGUGGGGAAUUUUGGACAAUGGGGGCAACCCUGAUCCAGCCAUGCCGCGUGAGUGAAGAAGGCCUUCGGGUUGUAAAGCUCUUUCGGCCGGAACGAAAUCGCGUACGUGAAUAACGUGCGUGGAUGACGGUACUGGAAGAAGAAGCACCGGCUAACUACGUGCCAGCAGCCGCGGUAAUACGUAGGGUGCGAGCGU
Molecule: ribosomal RNA, 500 nt
Filed under: uncultured bacterium
Lineage: Bacteria
Description: bacterial SSU rRNA
Rfam family: Bacterial small subunit ribosomal RNA
Source: RNAcentral